RNAcentral lists this ribosomal RNA (3747 nucleotides) under Actinomycetota bacterium. Its description in RNAcentral is "Actinobacteria bacterium (sediment metagenome) 23S ribosomal RNA". It matches the Rfam family "Bacterial large subunit ribosomal RNA". The record is from RNAcentral. Lineage: Bacteria; Bacillati; Actinomycetota.
CGCGAGCAUCUACGAGUCAAGUUAGGAAGGGCUCACGGUGGAUGCCUAGGCGCCAGGAGCCGAUGAAGGGCGUGUCAGGCUGCGAUAAGCUCCGGGGAGCCGCCGAGAAGGCUGAGAUCCGGAGAUGCCCGAAUGGGGGAACCCGGCCGGGGUCAUGCCCGGUCACCCAGGCCUGAACCCAUAGGGCCUGUGGAGGGAACCGCCCGAAGUGAAACAUCUCAGUAGGGCGAGGAAAGGAAAGCAACCGCGACUCCCCUAGUAGCGGCGAGCGAACGGGGAUCAGCCUAAACCGGCACGGUGUCGAAGCCCGGUGGCGUUGCCGUGCCGGGGUCGUGGGACCCGCCAGGAGGGGCGCCGGACCCUCCAGGGAGUUACAAAAUCCGCACCUAGCCGAAGGCCAUGGAAAGGGCCGCCGGAGGAGGUAAUAGCCCUGUAGGCGAAAGGUGACGGAUCUCCCGGCGGUGUUCCCGAGUAGCACGGGGCCCGUGGAAUCCCGUGUGAAUCUGGGGGGCCCACCCCCUAAGGCUAAGUACUCCCUGGCGACCGAUAGUGGACCAGUACCGUGAGGGAAAGGUGAAAAGCACCCCGGGAGGGGAGUGAAAUAGAACCUGAAACCGUGAGCCUACGAACCGUCGGAGCUCGGGCCUGGGCGACCAGGUCCGGGUGACGGCGUGCCUUUUGAAGAAUGAGCCGGCGAGUUAGCCGUCUGCGGCGAGGUUAACCCUUCGGGGGAAGCCGUAGCGAAAGCGAGUCCGAACAGGGCGUCCAGUCGCAGGCGCUAGACCCGAAGCCGGGUGAUCUACCCAUGGGCAGGCUGAAGCGAGGGUAAGACCUCGUGGAGGGCCGAACCCACCAGGGUUGAAAACCUGGGGGAUGACCUGUGGGUAGGGGUGAAAGGCCAAUCAAACCCGGUGAUAGCUGGUUCUCCCCGAAAUGCCUUUAGGGGCAGCCUCGGGCGUUCUCCGGCGGAGGUAGAGCACUGCUUGGGCUAGGGGGCCCACAAGCUUACCGAACCCAGGCAAACUCCGAAUGCCGUCGGACGAGAGCCCGGGAGUGAGGCUGCGGGGGCUAAGCUCCGUAGCCGAGAGGGAAACAACCCAGACCGCCAGCUAAGGUCCCCAAGUCCGUGCUAAGUGGGAAAGGAUGUGGGAUCGCAGAGACAACCAGGAGGUUGGCUUAGAAGCAGCCAUCCUUGAAAGAGUGCGUAACAGCUCACUGGUCAAGUGGUCCUGCGCCGACGAUGUAGCGGGGCUCAAGCACGGCACCGAAGCUGCGGGAUCCCCCGGAACGGCUCGGCGUACGAGGGAGGCCUCGUACGUCCAGGCCGGGGGAUCGGUAGGGGAGCGUUCCGACGCGGGUGAAGCGGCGGGGGAACCCAGCCGUGGACGCGUCGGAAGUGAGAAUGCCGGCAUGAGUAGCGAGAGACGGGGGAGGAGCCCGUCCGCCGGAAGCCCAAGGGUUCCUGGGGAAGGUUCAUCCGCCCAGGGUUAGUCGGGACCUAAGCCGAGGCCGAGAGGCGUAGGCGAUGGACGACCGGUUGAUAUUCCGGUACCACCUCACCCGCGACCAGGUCGGACCCGGGGUACUAAGGGAACCCCUCCUCCGGGAGGGGCUACCGACCGACCCGGUGACGGCCAGCGAUGGGGGGACGCAGAAGGGUAGCUCGACCCAGGCGGUGGUCGUCCUGGGGCAAGCGUGUAGGGGGAGGUCCUAGGCAAAUCCGGGACCUCGUCAACCCCGAGGCGCGAUGCCGAGCCGUUCAGGCGAAGCGAGUGAGCCCAUGCUGCCGAGAAAAGCCUCUAGCGAGUGGGUGAGGUGCCCGUACCCCAAACCGACACAGGUGGGCUGGUAGAGCAUACCGAGGCGAUCGAGUGAACCCUGGUCAAGGAACUCGGCAAAUUGCCCCCGUAACUUCGGGAGAAGGGGGACCCCGGUAGGGUGAAGGCCUUCGCGGCCGGAGCCCGAGGGGGUGGCACAGACCAGGCCCAAGCGACUGUUUACUAAAAACACAGGUCCGUGCGAAGUCGUAAGACGAUGUAUACGGACUGACGCCUGCCCGGUGCCGGAACGUUAAGGGGAGGGGUCAGCGCGGCCUUCGGGCCGUGCGAAGCUCCGAACCUAAGCGCCGGUAAACGGCGGCGGUAACUAUAACCGUCCUAAGGUAGACGGCCGAGGAUGCGCCCCUCGGCGCUGCCCCUCGCGUCGGCGACGGCGCGAGUGCAGCUGGCUAUAUGCUGGGACACCCGAGGAUCCGGCGGUACUCGCCAUGUCGGUGCCGAACGUUACGGUUGCCGGCAUGCGCAGUGACAAUCCGACCGGUGCGGGCGAUCAGCAGGAAAGACCGGGGAUCGAGCAGUGGAUCGUCGGGUUCGUGGACGGCGCGGAGCGCGGAGGCCCGGUGAACGAUCCGGGGGUACUUCGGCUGUGGCAGCGUCCGCCGGGACCGGAGGUACGACGACCACCGAGAGGACCUGUUCGCCUACAGGGUCUCUCGGUUCCCAGACCUCCGGGACCUGAUCGUGCCGUUCUUGAACGGUAUCCACUGGUUACGGCGAAGGCCGAUGCGUUCACGAGGUUCGCGGCGGUCAUCCGGAUCACGGAGGCCGAGCUCCACCUCUCGGUGGAGGGCCUCGCUCGGAUCGCGGAGAUCGCCCAGGCCAUGAACCAUCGGAAGCCGUCUCGGUUCCUGGGAUCCUCAGAGGCCAUACGCCAGCCAGCUCCCCGCCGACGGGGGAGCUGAAGAUAUGGUCCCGCCCCUAUGGCGACAUAGGGAUCUCGGAGCGAAAUUCCUUGUCGGGUAAGUUCCGACCUGCACGAAUGGCGUAACGACUUGGGCACUGUCUCGACCAGGGACUCGGCGAAAUUGCACUACGAGUGAAGAUGCUCGUUACCCGCAGCAGGACGGAAAGACCCCGGGACCUUUACUGCAACUUGGUGUUGGGUUCUGGCAGGUGUUGCGUAGGAUAGGCGGGAGGCUGUGAAGCCCGGGCUCCGGCUCGGGUGGAGCCACCCUUGAAAUACCGCCCUUCACCUGUUGGGACUCUAACCCGGGCCCGUGAUCCGGGUCGGGGACAGCGCCUGGUGGGCAGUUUGACUGGGGCGGUCGCCUCCUAAAGGGUAACGGAGGCGCCCAAAGGUCCCCUCAGCCUGGUUGGCAAUCAGGCGUCGAGUGCAAGGGCACAAGGGGGCUUGACUGCGAGACCGACGGGUCGAGCAGGCGCGAAAGCGGGGCCUAGUGAUCCGACGGCUCCUGGUGGUAGGGCCGUCGCUCAACGGCUAAAAGGUACCCCGGGGAUAACAGGCUGAUCUGGCCCAAGAGUCCAUAUCGACGGCCAGGUUUGGCACCUCGAUGUCGGCUCGUCUCAUCCUGGGGCUGGAGCAGGUCCCAAGGGUCGGGCUGUUCGCCCGUUAAAGAGGCACGCGAGCUGGGUUUAGAACGUCGUGAGACAGUUCGGUCCCUAUCCGCUGCGGGCGCAGGAGGCUUGAGGGGAGCUGUCCCUAGUACGAGAGGACCGGGACGGACGGACCUCUGGUGUGCCAGUUGUCGCGCCAGCGGCACGGCUGGUUAGCCACGUCCGGACGGGAUAAGCGCUGAAGGCAUCUAAGUGCGAAGCCCACCCCGAGAUGAGGCCUCCCACUGGGUCGACCAGGUAAGGCCCCUCGGAGACCACGAGGUCGAUAGGCCGGAGGUGUAAGCACCGCGAGGUGUUGAGCCGACCGGUACUAAUAGGCCGAGGACUUGACUCU